UACACACCGCCCGUCACACCAUGGAAGUUGGUUGCACCAGAAGUCGGUCGCUUAACCGCAAGGAGAACGCCGCCCACGGUGUGGCUAAUGACUGGGGUG
This 99-nucleotide ribosomal RNA is filed under the name uncultured bacterium. RNAcentral describes it as "partial 16S ribosomal RNA". It matches the Rfam family "Bacterial small subunit ribosomal RNA", at positions 1384 to 1482 of the family's 1533-position model. The record is from RNAcentral.